GUGGCUCCAUGGUAGAGCAUCUGCUCGGCAUGCAGAAGAUCCCAGGUUCAAUCCCCAUCAUCUCCA
RNAcentral lists this transfer RNA (66 nucleotides) under Sphaerodactylus townsendi. RNAcentral describes it as "tRNA-Ala". Lineage: Eukaryota; Metazoa; Chordata; Lepidosauria; Squamata; Sphaerodactylidae. The record is from RNAcentral.